Long non-coding RNA from Culex quinquefasciatus (southern house mosquito), 293 nucleotides. RefSeq lists it as uncharacterized. Lineage: Eukaryota; Metazoa; Arthropoda; Insecta; Diptera; Culicidae. The transcript has 2 exons. The record is from RefSeq and is a predicted model, not a curated record.
UGUGAAUAAUAGAAUUUUACAGUGGAAGAAGUUGUUUAUUCUGCAAUAAGGUUGGGAAGUUGCCGUGGCUGCCGUGUUAUGUUCAUUCUGCAUUUGUCAAGACAAAUUCACUUAGUGUUCAUAAUCCAGAUGAUCGCUUCGGCUGGAGCUUCUAGCAUUCUCUGGAUUUUCAACAGAGUAUAUCGUGGACGAACUUGUGUGAAUCAAGCUGCUGAAAUUGUCGCUGGAACCGCGCCACAAUAUCACUAGGCCUUUCGUAAAAAGCUACUGGGUCGGUGGACGGUCAUGAGCAA